CAUGAACACGAUUAUUAUUCUUGUGGUACGGGCGCGCAUGGGCAGGAUGGUGUAACCAUCCGGCGAAAGCUCCCAUGCGCGAAAGACAGGCUCCCUCGGGAGCCUUUUUUAUUAUCCAAAU
This is a non-coding RNA of Elaeophora elaphi, 121 nucleotides long. The record is from Rfam. Lineage: Eukaryota; Metazoa; Nematoda; Chromadorea; Rhabditida; Onchocercidae.